This 3666-nucleotide long non-coding RNA is filed under the name Triticum aestivum (bread wheat). RNAcentral describes it as "long non-coding RNA (TAES_LNC014018)". The record is from RNAcentral. Lineage: Eukaryota; Viridiplantae; Streptophyta; Magnoliopsida; Poales; Poaceae.
UUUGCUCAAGUUAAGUCUUUAUACCAUAUGAAUGGUUCUGCACACUCUCGCUGCCAUAUCACUAAAAUUAUUUUUCCGUGUAAAUCAUUGGUCACACUUUUCUCAUAAUUCUACUCAGGUCAAAAUGUCGUAGAAAUUGUGUUUUCUGGUGUUUACGAGCAAGGAUGUCAGCAUUGUGGGUUGGGGCAUGGUUGGGCUUUGUCUUGGCGGAGUGGCUACAUACUUUAGAGUUGUGUUGAGGGAUUUUUUUGCAUUAGCAAUUAAUAACUCAAGUAUAUUUUUAAAGAUGUUUCUUGCUUGGUGCUCUUCUUUGGUUUCUGAUCAGUUUGUGCCUGUUGUGUAGUGUGUAGGCUAUGUUCUAUUGGUUUGGACUGCCUUGAAUUGUUUGUUAUCGGAUAGAAAAUGCAACUCAGUACUCCAUUAUGUGUCACAACAGGUUUGGUAUAGACGUUUCAGGCUGACUCCUUACUUUUGCUUGCUCGAAGUUUAAGGUGCAUGCCACUUAAUUUUCUUCACGGGAGGAGGGUUGGCCAGAAGUAGGUGAGGUAAAAAAGUAGGCUCCAUCCCUCUUACAUCUGUUCAGACUACUGAAUUUGGUUCCCUUACUCAUUUCAGUUUCACUUGGUGUAUGUGAAGCAAUGCAAUUUACUUCCAUUGCUGCCAUCUUGCUUUUCGUGAGUUAAUUCUGUACAAUUAGUCAACAUUGUAGACGGUGGCCUGAUAGAGCGUUUUCUGUAAUGCAUGGUUAAAUAGCUUUUAGGUUGAUUUGAUAAGACAACUUUUUCUAAUGUCAGGCUUAGUUUACUUUUUGUAAGAGUAGGUUUGAUCCAUGUAAAUAUGCUUUAACAACUGAAAUUUUGACACAUGACAUGUUUUUAUUUGUUAUAUUUUAAGCUUGAAACUCAAAUCUCAGCUAUUCCCUAAAUAUUUAAAUACUGAACCUUUUGUUUUCUACACUGCCAUGGUCUCCGUGGUAUUAUUUUGAUAGCCUCACAACCACUAAUUGCUAUUAUAUAAAAAAAAAGGGCAACCUGGUGCAUGUAGCUCCCGCUUGCGCAGGGUCCAGGGAAGGGUCCGACCACUUUGGGUCUAUAGUACGCAGCCUUUCCCUACAUUUCUGUAAGAGGCUGUUUCCAGGACUUGAACCCAUGACCUCAUGGUCACAAGGCAGCAGCUUUACCACUGCGCCAAGGCUCCCCUUCUACUAAUUGCUAUUAUAUGAAAUGAUAAAUUAAUGUGGGCAGUCAUGACUAUUUUAUACAUCGAUGGUCUAAACUAGAAAUGUUUGACUGCGCGUUACACAUCAAGGAGGGGGUAUUCAUGUGUGUGGUCUGCAGUGGUAUAUCAGUUAAAGAUGUGCUAAUUUUGUUGUUAAUGCUUUGACAUGCUAUGAAAGUUUUCUGUAUGGCAAAGGACGUGUUCCUUACUUUCUCCUGUGUAUUUAUUUCAGAAGUUCUUCGAGCAUUUGUUUUUAACUUGUAGCUUAUAUUGACAGCCAUGGUUGUGUGCCUUGGUAGAUUGAAGUAGUGGCAUGUAACUGAUUUCACAUUCUUCUAUGAAUAAUACCCGGACUGCUCUGUGCUAGAUACAUCCGCUUGAGCGACAAUUAGUUCCAGACGGAGGGAGUAUGUUUUUUGAAGACUGCUCUGUCUUUUUUCCUUCUAGUUACUGGCCAUAAGCCCUUAGCUAAUGCCAACUCUGCUGUAACAUGCCUAUUGACCACCAGAAACCACUUUGUUUUCUGUGUAUGCUGGCCAUUUCAGUGUAGUUGUUUGAUAUGCUGCCAACAACUUUGCCCUUUCUUCUUUCUUACUCCCUCGGUCCCAUAAUGUAGUGCACAUUGGUUUUCCUGAAAGUCAAGCUUCAAAAACAUUGACCAAAUUAUUGAGAAAAAUCUAAUAUGUUUCAUGAAAAUAUAUAUCAAAUAUAUAUCACAUGAAAAUAUAUUUCAUGAUGAAUCAAUUGCUUUUUAUUUCGUAUUUUGGAUGUUGAUAAUUUGUUUCUGUAUAUUUGGUCAAAGUUUACAAGGUUUGACUUAAAAAAAAUCUAAUAUGUACUAUAUUUUGGGACAGAGGGAGUGCUAUUUAGUUAUUUCCUCGAGCAAAUCGAUGCUUAUUUAUGCUAAUGCAUAUGUUGUUUUAGUUCUAGUUGUGUGCAUGGCAUAUUGUUUUUCUAGAAGAUGCAGUUCUGAAUUUUCUCAUGGGUCUAUGAAUCUAUUAUUGCAUGAACUGGUGAUAUGCGGUCAAGUUGACUGACACCAUUUGGCAUUUCUAGUGCUUGAGUUGACAAAUUCGAUGUAAUCAAAUAGUGUCCCUAGAACUUAAAAAGUCAUCUAUUUAUCUAGUGUAAGUGUUGUCCUUUCCUUUUUAUGUGCCGGAAUUCUUCUACAUUCUGAGCAUCAACACACUUUUAGAUAGUACACUGGCACUGCUGCACUGGUGAUUCUAUCUUCUUUAAUACUCCCUCUCUUCACUUUUAUAAGACGUUUUAGACAGUUUAGACAGCACCCAAAACAGUCCAAUGCCAGCUCUGAAACGUCUUAUAAACGGAGGGAGUAUGUGAUUUAUGCUUCUGAAAGUGUCCACUAGGUUUUAUUGCUUGAUGAAUUGAGUGUUGUUUUUUGAGGAAUUGACUGUUGUAUUUGCUUAUAGGUGCAAUAUUUUGUAUCAAAUUUACCUUUAACAAUCUGUUACUAACCUUGGUUUUCCUUUGUCUCUGUCCCUUUUUUCGUCCCCUCCAAUGAUGGUGCCUGGACUAUGACCUCUGCCUUUUCAUGUUUGAUUUUCCUCUGCUGCUGCUAGGUAUUGUUUUGGCUUUUGUUUAUACAGGGUGCAUACUCACAUAAUGCUCCUUGCUCUGAAACAUUUAGUUUGACGGCCAUAUUCUGUUUGUACAUGCAAUUAUUUCUAAUAUGUAAGCAUAUUUGUAGGAUCAUACAGUGGCAGACUACGCACUCUCUAUAGUUAGUAUAUUUACUUACAGUCUUGGAUACACUAAAUGAGAACAAAGUUUGGAUGUGUCAUUGUCUGCACUCAAAUAGUUUCCUGAUGAAUAUGACGGAGCUACAUCUCUUUGACUGAAGAAAAUGAGGACCAAGCUCUCAAGACAGUUUUGUGUCUUCCACAGCAGGGCAAUUGCCUGAAAGAACCAUAACGUCAGUCCAUGCAUUCAGUUGUCUGUGCAGCAGCCUGCCAGCUGUCAUUUGAUUUGUAAUAACAUUAAUGUGGUCAUGUAGGUUACACAUGUACUAAGAACUGGUUGACUAUGUAUGACCAUCAGGUGAACUAAUAUUUCCUAUUAUUUGUUCAUUUCAGCCGUUUCACUUUCGUUUGUUACAUGUAUGUACAGGUACAAUGUCAUUGUCAUAUUAAUACUAUCGACGUGUGUUUGGUUCGCUCUCCGGUAACGUAUUCGUUCUGGUAAAGAGAAGCACCGGUUUCCAAUGUUUUCUCACUGAAUACAUGUUUUGUUUCCAAUGUUUUCUCACCGAAUACAUGUUUUGUUUGGUUGAGCGUCCAACCUCCGUUUUCCUAAUCAGCUCCGGUCCGGCUGUUUUCGGUUUUGCGAAGCCACGCGUCGUAUGUGUCUACCAUGUGCCAUGUACAUUUGUGCACGUCGUAAAACCUCGAUAGAAGCAAAGAACUUUGCCAAAAAAGAAAAAGAAAA